GGCUCGGUAGCUUAGUUGGUAAAGCGCUCGUCUAGCAUACAAGAGUCCUGGGUUCAAUUCCCUGCCGAGCAC
RNAcentral lists this transfer RNA (72 nucleotides) under Aedes aegypti (yellow fever mosquito). It matches the Rfam family "tRNA". Rfam says of the family: Transfer RNA (tRNA) molecules are approximately 80 nucleotides in length. Their secondary structure includes four short double-helical elements and three loops (D, anti-codon, and T loops). Further hydrogen bonds mediate the characteristic L-shaped molecular structure. tRNAs have two regions of fundamental functional importance: the anti-codon, which is responsible for specific mRNA codon recognition, and the 3' end, to which the tRNAs corresponding amino acid is attached (by aminoacyl-tRNA synthetases). tRNAs cope with the degeneracy of the genetic code in two manners: having more than one tRNA (with a specific anti-codon) for a particular amino acid; and 'wobble' base-pairing, i.e. permitting non-standard base-pairing at the 3rd anti-codon position. The record is from Rfam by way of RNAcentral. Lineage: Eukaryota; Metazoa; Arthropoda; Insecta; Diptera; Culicidae.